ACCAUCUCUAAUCCUCCCUACCUCCUUCCACCAAAAAGAACAACUCCGGCCCCCAACCUCCAACCUCCCUCCAACCUCGCCAUAACGGGCGACUAGAACACUAUACCACAAACCUACUCUAUCUACCAACAUCCUCCAACACCAUUUACCUAACAAAGCAACAUUAAACUCCUUCAACUUCCUAACCCCCAACCCUCCAG
This 200-nucleotide long non-coding RNA is filed under the name Medicago truncatula (barrel medic). RNAcentral's name for it is "long non-coding RNA (MTRU_LNC004023)". The record is from RNAcentral. Lineage: Eukaryota; Viridiplantae; Streptophyta; Magnoliopsida; Fabales; Fabaceae.